CCGGUUAAUGCCGGGAGUUUCAAGAUGAAAAGUGUGUCUGGCAGGGCCCGGGAGGUUUGCAGCCGGGUCCUGCGCAAUGAUUCCUGCGAAUCGUGUCAGGACGGGAACGUAGCAGCACUAAGCAGAUUCCUUCAUGUGCCGCAGGGAAGCCUUGCCGUGAUCCCCCGGGUUCUGCCAGGUACAUUUUUAAGAUCAGAACCGG
This 202-nucleotide signal recognition particle RNA is filed under the name Lachnospiraceae bacterium. RNAcentral describes it as "signal recognition particle sRNA large type". It matches the Rfam family "Bacterial large signal recognition particle RNA". From Rfam's summary of the family: The signal recognition particle (SRP) is a universally conserved ribonucleoprotein involved in the co-translational targeting of proteins to membranes. The record is from RNAcentral. Lineage: Bacteria; Bacillati; Bacillota; Clostridia; Lachnospirales; Lachnospiraceae.